UCGAGAAUCUUCGGCAAUGGGCGCAAGCCUGACCGAGCGACGCCGCGUGGAGGACGAAGGCCUUCGGGUUGUAAACUCCUGUCGAGGGGGAGGAAGCCGCAAGGUUGACCGAUCCCUGGAGGAAGCACGGGCUAAGUUCGUGCCAGCAGCCGCGGUAAGACGAACCGUGCGAACGUUAUUCGGAAUCACUGGGCUUAAAGCGCGUGUAGGCGGGUCGGCACGUCGGAUGCUGAAAUCCCCCGGCUCAACCGGGGAAGUGGCGCCGAUACGGCCGACCUGGAGGGGGGUAGGGGGCGCUGGAACUCACGGUGGAGCGGUGAAAUGCGUUGAGAUCGUGAGGAACGCCCGCGGCGAAAGCGAGCGCCUGGACCCUUUCUGACGCUGAGACGCGAAAGCCAGGGGAGCGAACGGGAUUAGAUACCCGUGUAGUCC
RNAcentral lists this ribosomal RNA (432 nucleotides) under uncultured bacterium. Its description in RNAcentral is "bacterial SSU rRNA". It matches the Rfam family "Bacterial small subunit ribosomal RNA", at positions 355 to 796 of the family's 1533-position model. The record is from RNAcentral.